CCCCCUCGAGUAACAUCAAUCCCCGCUCCUUAAUUCAGAAACCGAACCCCGCUCCUCUUCCUUAUAUCAAUUUCACAAAUUCCAAACCCUAGAUCCACCUCAAAGUCCAACCUCCACCAUUUGCCACCAGAAUCCAAACCCUAAUUUUCAGUUCCCCCUAACGGAUUCCAAUCCAGAGACCCUGCUUUCCAGAUGACUCAAUCCCACUUGAGCUCCGAUCCGUCGAAUUGAAGAGAUUUCAUCUAGAGAGAGAAAGCUGAAGAAUUUUAGAGAGAGAAAGAGACAGAGGUGAAGGGAGAAAUCGAAGAAAGAGAGACAGCAGAAGGAAGAAUUGUGUUUGGGUACUUGGUAGAACAGUGACGGUCAGAUCGGGCAACCGUGUGAUAG
RNAcentral lists this unclassified non-coding RNA (387 nucleotides) under Hevea brasiliensis (rubber tree). Lineage: Eukaryota; Viridiplantae; Streptophyta; Magnoliopsida; Malpighiales; Euphorbiaceae. The record is from RNAcentral.